Molecule: ribosomal RNA, 433 nt
Filed under: uncultured bacterium
Lineage: Bacteria
Description: partial 16S ribosomal RNA
Rfam family: Bacterial small subunit ribosomal RNA
Source: RNAcentral
AACGAACGCUGGCGGCAUGCCUAACACAUGCAAGUCGAACGAGACCUUCGGGUCUAGUGGCGUACGGGUGCGUAACGCGUGGGAACCUGCCCUUAGGUUCGGAAUAACUCCCCGAAAGGGGUGCUAAUACCGGAUAAUGUCUUCGGACCAAAGAUUUAUCGCCUUUGGAUGGGCCCGCGUUGGAUUAGCUAGUUGGUAGGGUAAAAGCCUACCAAGGCGACGAUCCAUAGCUGGUCUGAGAGGAUGAUCAGCCACACUGGGACUGAGACACGGCCCAGACUCCUACGGGAGGCAGCAGUGGGGAAUAUUGGACAAUGGGCGAAAGCCUGAUCCAGCAAUGCCGCGUGAGUGAUGAAGGCCUUAGGGUUGUAAAGCUCUUUUAACCGGGAUGAUAAUGACAGUACCGGGAGAAUAAGCUCCGGCUAACUCCGUG